RNAcentral lists this ribosomal RNA (512 nucleotides) under uncultured bacterium. RNAcentral describes it as "bacterial SSU rRNA". It matches the Rfam family "Bacterial small subunit ribosomal RNA", at positions 9 to 515 of the family's 1533-position model. The record is from RNAcentral.
GAGUUUGAUCUUGGCUCAGAUUGAACGCUGGCGGCAGGCCUAACACAUGCAAGUCGAGCGGUAGAGAGAAGCUUGCUUCUCUUGAGAGCGGCGGACGGGUGAGUAAUGCCUAGGAAUCUGCCUGGUAGUGGGGGAUAACGCUCGGAAACGGACGCUAAUACCGCAUACGUCCUACGGGAGAAAGCAGGGGACCUUCGGGCCUUGCGCUAUCAGAUGAGCCUAGGUCGGAUUAGCUAGUUGGUGAGGUAAUGGCUCACCAAGGCGACGAUCCGUAACUGGUCUGAGAGGAUGAUCAGUCACACUGGAACUGAGACACGGUCCAGACUCCUACGGGAGGCAGCAGUGGGGAAUAUUGGACAAUGGGCGAAAGCCUGAUCCAGCCAUGCCGCGUGUGUGAAGAAGGUCUUCGGAUUGUAAAGCACUUUAAGUUGGGAGGAAGGGCAGUAAAUUAAUACUUUGCUGUUUUGACGUUUACCGACAGAAUAAGCACCGGCUAACUCUGUGACAGCACG